AACAAAGCAUCUGCUCUGCUGGCUAAGCUUGAGAUGUUCCCCUGUCCUCAGGACACUCUGCAUAUUGACUUUGGGAGCCAGGAAGCCACCUCCAAUUCACAGAGCUGGUGCUUCUGCCUCAUUCAUGAAAGGAUCCGCCAAAACCUGAUCCAGUUAACAGAAACAGGGUUUCACCAUGUUGGACAGGCUGGUCAUGAACUCCUGACUUCAGGUUUUCUCAGCUGUGAUGGAAACCUCACUAUCACUUGAGCCCAUGCCCACAUUGCUUCCCUGGGACCUGAGGGGCAAGGGAAAUUGAUGUGAACAUGAAUCACAUGCUGCCUGCUGUGCUAUCAUAAUAUCCGGGAUGAUACAAAAUCUACUGAGAUACUCUACCUUCAACUAUAGACAGGUAAAGCCUACAUUAUUAAUGAAAAAAUAGCUCUGUGUGUCUAGAGUUUACAUGUAAGUGUAUAUAAUAGCAUAUAUACAUAUAUAUAUAUGUAUAUAUAUGUAGAUUCAUGUAUAUAUACACACACACACAUAAGCCAAGGUCCAGUUUAAAAUCAUGUUAUUCCAAAGUGCUCAUUCUUUAUUCUUAAAUCAAAGUAGAGCCAUCUACUUUGUUAUAAAAUUUGUUAUACUAUGUUUGUUAACAAAUAUCAUUUUGGUGGAUGGAUUGUGGCUGCUUUUAUUAUUUCACUUAAUUUAGGGAGGUACUUCUUGAGAUAUUGGCCAAUACAAAGCCAUGUCACAGAGUAAGGAAAUGCUGCCAAUACUGAUAGCAUUUUCGGUGCUGAGCCCUUCUCUAGUUUGUAGAAUUGCACAUAGGCAUCCUUCUCGAUAGUAAACAUUUGGCUGUCCAAACAAACUUGCUACAUUCCUUCCACAUCUUAUUAUGUAAAUGUUUCUAUUUGGUUUUACUGAUUGGUGUCUCUAUCUCCUCUCUCUCUUGUUUUAUUUGUAUAAUAAAAUGCCUCUAAGAGAAGAUAAAUGAGACCCACUAAUAAAAAAAAAUCAUGCAAAACCUAAAACUGUAUUAUUCAAGGCUAAUGAAAUGGCAGGUGCUAUCCGGUCAUCUAGCCUGCUGAAAGUUCUUGGAGACCCAUCCACCCAAAGAAUUCAAAUUGGCGUCAGUUUCAUCUGUGGUUUGGCGCCAUCUUGUGGCACUUGUUCACAUCAGCUUAAAUAGAGACGGGGAUCAUUCUGCCUUUCGUGGCUGCCUGGUACUCCUUGUAGGGAAGUUGUAAAUUCAGAAAUAUCACACUUACAUGGUUCUAUAGUUAGUUGGAGACUUGGUUACGUCCAUCAGUCAUAUAUGAAGAGACCUAGGCAGAGAAAAUACUGGAAAUGUAGAACACACUGUCUCCUGAGUCAUGCUUCCGGUGCUUGCCCUCUGCCCACCCUCUCCAAAAGAUGAAAGUUAGCCCAUUCUUUUUAUAUCUGAGCUUAACUUAUUGCAAUGUUUUCUAUAUUUAAAAUAUAUUUACCAUUUUCUUGUGUACAGCUUACUUGAGAUUAUGUUUCAGGUAAUUUAUUUAUUUCAUUUAGAUCCAAAAGCACUGAGCAAAUCCAAUGAAUAAGGGUGAUAUACAAAAUACUUAAAUGCUGGUAAGGCAUAGACAUUGAUCAUGAAGCGAUAUUGUCCAUAAACAACAACUAUAGCCUUGUACCCAUCUGGCUUGGUGUCAGUCCCACCAGCAGGCUAUGCCCCAGAUUUACACUGUCAAAACAAUAGAGGGCCAGCAGCUUGCUCUCCAAGCUCCCUUCUUAUAUUACAAUGCUUCUUGAGUUAAGGAGACUCUGAUAUAAACGGUCCCAGGAUAUUAGCAAAUAAAGUCAUGAUGAAAAGUUGACAUUGAGAGAUUUCAAAUUUUAUGAAGAGUUACAGAAAACUAAAUAAUAUCUGGAUUUUCUUUCCUUUAAUAUUUCUGUAUGUAAUUUAAUUAACUAGUGUGGCAAGAUUUGUGCCACCUCUCUUUUUCUUUUCAAUAGUAUUUCAACUAUAUUAUAAACUAUGAAGGCUUUUGCUGACCCACCUGACAACAGAGUUGCCACUUUCUACCUUCCAAGUUUCCAACUGCUACAAUACAAAUUGGACUUUUAAAAUGCGAGAUUGGUGACCUCAUUGAUUUCAGUAGGGGAUCAUUUCAACCCUACUGAAGAAUUAGUACUAUUGGCCAUUCACAUGUUAAUAUGAAUGACCUUGGGUUGCUUCUUCUCUAACAUAAAACUAAGCCAAGUGGAGUACCUGCCUUGAGAUGAGAUCUAUAUAUUUUAGGCUUUGCUCUGGUUCUCUUCCAGUCAUUCUCCUUCCUAUAGAGUAAGGAGUCCUCAGGACCAGGGACAUGUGCCUAGCUGAAAUCCAUGUCUCUGUCUUCUUAGACACGUACAGGUACUGAAGAUUUGGAAACUUCCUUUCCAAAAAGACUUGAGCCUGUUUUCAGAUCUUAGUAAAGUUCUUUCCUUUACUGCAAGGUUGUGUGUACCACUAGGCCCCAGGUUUGACAACAGAAGAGCUGUUUUGGGGUAAGGGUUGGAUAAAGCUUGGACAUAGAUAUUAAUGAGGCCCUUGAGCUGUGGGAUGGAGCACAACGUGGGAAAGAAACCAGGACUUAAACUGAGAACCAGGGGCAGGCGGCUCUGUUCUCCUGCACCCUCGUUUCAGGGUGGACUCUAAAGAGCAUAAAAAUUCUAACUUUGAAUCAGUUUUCCAGGUCAUUAUAAGGGAAUGUAUGUCAGGGUGGGAAGCUAGAACCAUGUUUUAUUUAAUAGUUGCUUAACAAUAUGUUUUACAACUUUUAGCUAUUUCAUAAUAUGGUAUAAGUGUCUCUAUUUGUACUUCUGCUCUGGGCUCUACCACUGUUCAAAGUUGAUUUAGGAGGUGAGUGGGGAAAAGGAGCAUUAUUUUCCUAGUUCUGUAAUACCACACAUCAUCUCGUCCAUUUGGACACAGAGGAGCAAUGGAAUUUUAUAUAUUUCCAUAUAGUUUUUCAUUUUCCUUCUUGCUUGUCUGUAGACCACAUCAGUUGCUGCCAACUUCUACUCCUAAGUCCCUGAUCCUUUUAUUUAAAUAAAAAACCUCAAGAGAGAGAAGUUGGCAAAUGGAAAUUAGAAACAAAGUAAAUUAAGACAUACAAUCUGAAAUUAAUCAACUUGAUGAAUCUUGACCAAAUUAAAUUCAAAGAUAAAAUCUACCAAACAAAGCUCUCCUCAAUUAAAGCAAGAAUCUAAAACUUGACAAAGGACAAGAUGGAGAGGAAAUAACAUGAAAUAUAAGUAUACCUUCUGAAAAUAACUAACAGUCAAACUCAUAUGUAUAUGGUUUUGUUAUGGUAUCUUAAAAAAUAAUUUUUUUCUUAAGUUGUAGAUUCAUCUUCAAGAUUCAAAAACCUUGGUGGUCUCUUAAAUAGUUUGUUAAAGUAUGUAGAAUUUGACUGGGUGCAUAUAUUGAUUCCUCAAAUAAUCUCAUGUCUCCUCUAGAGCCCAAAUGAAGUAGGACAUCUGAGUAUUAAAACAGCAUUAAAAUGUAAACAAGCACAAUUUUGAGUUUAAGCUGAGUUGUAGCAAAAAGAUUGUAAUAUAGGCAAUUAAGAGAAAUUUCCCCACAUUAUAGGGUGUUUCAUUCACAGUGGGCUAUGAUCCAAUAGAGCAGAAAUAUUGAACGAUGCUAUUGGAUUGGAAAUUGAUAUUUACAGGGCUUUCUAUCUUUAGAAAACUCUAUUAGUAAAAAAUAUAUAAUUUUAUAUUAUCUAUAUAACUAAUUUCAUUCUU
Cebus imitator (Panamanian white-faced capuchin) is the source of this 3753-nucleotide long non-coding RNA. RefSeq lists it as uncharacterized. NCBI's taxonomy places the organism in Eukaryota, Metazoa, Chordata, Mammalia, Primates, Cebidae. The transcript is spliced from 4 exons. The record is from RefSeq and is a predicted model, not a curated record.